AUUCUUGUAGUUUAUUAUAUAAAAUAUUACACUGAAAAUGUAAAGAAAUUUUUUUUUCAAGAAUA
This 65-nucleotide transfer RNA is filed under the name Ixodes australiensis. Its description in RNAcentral is "tRNA-Phe". The record is from RNAcentral. Lineage: Eukaryota; Metazoa; Arthropoda; Arachnida; Ixodida; Ixodidae.